GGGGCGUGGCCUGUGCUCAGCGUUUAGCGGGUCUCGAGCCAGGUCACAUGAGGCGCGCGCACAAACGGUUAUAUAUUAGUAUUUAUAUAUCUAUUUUCUUUUCUGCGACUUAAUAGUAAUAAUAAAACACACACACACACACACACACACAUCUCGGACAUGGCGGAAGAGCAGAGUGUUGACUGUCUGCUUGUUUCUCUGAAUAAAGUUACAGAUCCUAUGAACCAGUCAGAGAGAUGGGACUGCAUUCAGGAGUUCUACCAACAUGUUAAUGCACAUCCUGAUGGUCCCCAGAUUGCAACACGGCUCUUGGCUCAUAAGAUCCAGUCUCCUCAGGAGAAGGAAGCUCUUCAGGCUCUCACUUUAUUAGAGGUGUGUAUGAAUAAUUGUGGGAAACGUUUUCACACUGAAGUAGUGAAGUUCAGGUUCCUGAAUGAACUCAUUAAAGUUCUCUCUCCAAAGUAUCUGGGUGUGUUGAGCCCAAAGCAGGUGAAACAGAGGGUGAUUGAGGCUAUGUACAGCUGGACUCAGUGGUUAAAGGAUGAGCCGAAGGUUCAGGAAGCAUACAACAUGCUAAAGAAACAAGGACUAGUGAAGGAAGACCCGACCCUUCCUGACACAGUGGGAAUACCUCCUCCUUCUCCACGACAGGGCGUGUCUGUGUUUGAUAACGAAGACAAAUCAAAGCUGUUGUCACGGUUACUGAAGAGCAGAAGUCCUGAAGACCUGCAGAUGGCUAACGCACUGAUAAAGAGCACACUGCAAGAGGAGCAGGAGAAGACGGAGAAAGAGAACAGACGUGUUAGGACCCUUCAGGAAGUGGAGAAGUGCACAUCUCAACUUAAACAACUCCUGAACCAACAACAACAUACCCAGGAAAUGCAGGAUCUGUAUGAGCGCUGUGACAGACUGAGGUCAAACCUUUUCCGAUUUGCCAGUGACACUGUGGACAACGAUGAGGCUUUAGCUGAGAUCCUGCGCAGGAAUGAUGAGCUCACACAUGUGAUGGUUCUGUACAGAAAGAAAACACAGAGACCCCAAACUGAGACAGACUCGCAGGUGAGUCCUGUGAAGUCGUAUCACCUGAUUGAUUUCUCAGCGUUGGGAGAUGACAGCCAACGGGACCAAGCUGAGCUGAGCACAAGUGUACUGCAGGAUGAAGAAAAGCAGAACAUACAUGGUGAAGAUUCCAGCAGAAACACAAUCAAUGUGAAAUCCUACCUUGAUGAACUGUUACAGUUGGAGGACACGGUAAGCGUUGCCAGGGAGACGAGUCAAAAGGAGACAUCUUACAGGAAUGAAGACUGCAUUACCCACAAUGCAUCAGUAUUAGCAGCAGUGGAUCCAGAGCUGAGGUCCAGAUCAGCUUCCAGUGACAAUCAGCCAACUGCAUCAGCUGGGCUUCCUAAAGCUCACCAUGCUUCGUCCCUCACUGACAUCUCUGUCUCUCUGGACUCUAUUAAGCCAAGUCACAUUAAACCUAUAACAGUGUUUAAUCACCGUGGACUUCAUGUCUCUCUACACUUCACUAAAGAAGUUCUUCCGUCUCACCCUGAUGUUGCCGUCAUCGUCGUCUCUGCGGUUAACACCUCACCACUUCCUGUUUAUGACUUCCUCUUCCUGGCUGCUGUCCCCAAAAAUCACACAGGCAUUCUCCUUCAUCCUGCAAUCAUCAUCAUCAUCAUCACUUUCUCUCUCUUUCUCUCUGUCAGAAUAUGUGUGUGAGGCUGCAGGCAGCUACAGGAGGAACAUUGUCUCCAUACAGCCCUCUGAUGCCCCCUGCUGCCCUCUCUCAGAUACUGCUACUCUACAACCCACUCAGAAAGCCGGUGCGUCUGCGGUUCAGAGUGACUCUAACUCUCGGACAGGAGCAUCUGCAGCAGGAUGGAGAAAUUGAUCAGUUCCCUCAGUGGAACUCUUGGAUUCACCUUUGACCUCAAACCUCUGGACACAUUUUAUUUGUAUAGUGUUUUUAACCGUGGAUAUUUCUCACAGCAUCUUUAUAAAUCACUAUAAACACCGAGA
This is an RNA transcript of Tachysurus fulvidraco (yellow catfish), 2025 nucleotides long. It is a transcript of the gene named ADP-ribosylation factor-binding protein GGA3-like, with no coding region annotated. Lineage: Eukaryota; Metazoa; Chordata; Actinopteri; Siluriformes; Bagridae. The record is from RefSeq and is a predicted model, not a curated record. The transcript has 17 exons.